This is a long non-coding RNA of Odocoileus virginianus texanus, 551 nucleotides long. RefSeq lists it as uncharacterized. The record is from RefSeq and is a predicted model, not a curated record. NCBI's taxonomy places the organism in Eukaryota, Metazoa, Chordata, Mammalia, Artiodactyla, Cervidae.
CGUCUCUCCGGCCCCAGAUCCAUGGAGUCGUCUGGCUCCAGACGGACCGAGCCGGCCCUCUCCUCCACCUGAGAAGGAAAAGGGCUGCAGAGCCACCAAAGUGCCUUGACCUGGGCGGCUGACAGAUGAAGGAGUACAUUUGGGAGACUCCAGAUUCCGUCAACUGUCAGUCGAAUUCAUACAACAGAUAUGGAUACAGAGGGGUGACUGUAUACUGGAGCCAACAGAUAUGGAUACAGAACCCAUGGAUACAGAGGGCUGACUGUAUACUGGAGCCCACCAAACUGUACUUUUAAGUGGUGAAAUUUAUGGUAUGUAAGUUAUAUCUCAGUAGAGGGAAAAAAGGGGGACACCAUUCUUCUUAGUGGCCCAAAAUAAAUGGCAUGAACCCAGCAGGUUUCUGAAAGCCCCAGCACUUUUUUUUUUUUUUGGCCCCAGCACUCUUGAUAAAUACUAACUCCCCUGACUCAGAAGAUUCCUUGGUGGUUCAGUGGUUAAGACUUUGUGUUCCACUGCAGGGGCUGUGGGUUCGAUACCUGGUUGGGGAACUG